GUUCUCCUUCAAGCUCCCUUAAGACCUGAGUGAGCUGUCCACAGCAAAGAAUUGAAGAGAAAACUGAUGAGUUGACAAUGUCUUAAGUAUCUGAUGAGAAGUGUAUUUUGGAUGUAUAAUGUGUGAGAACAGGAGACCAAGGACUAGAUUUGGAUUCUCUAACAGGGCAUGCAUUUCCAG
RNAcentral lists this long non-coding RNA (180 nucleotides) under Numida meleagris (helmeted guineafowl). RNAcentral's name for it is "lncRNA (ENSNMEG00000021335.1)". The record is from RNAcentral. Lineage: Eukaryota; Metazoa; Chordata; Aves; Galliformes; Numididae.